This 882-nucleotide unclassified non-coding RNA is filed under the name Hevea brasiliensis (rubber tree). Lineage: Eukaryota; Viridiplantae; Streptophyta; Magnoliopsida; Malpighiales; Euphorbiaceae. The record is from RNAcentral.
AUUCCUAUAAUCCAUUUUAAUUUCUACUGCUAAUCCCAAUUCCAUCACCAUUUCAAAGGCAUUAAACUGUUGCUCUGCAUACAUUGGCCAAGUGGCAAUUGGGACACCAAACCAUAUGCUUUCUAGCACAGAAUUCCAUCCACAAUGUGAAACAAAUCCUCCAAUGGCUGGAUGUGCCAAGACAGCCACUUGUGGAGCCCACCCUAUCACCUUUCCAAUUCCACCCAUUCGAUCCAAGAAACCUUCGGGCAAGACUUGUUGUGGAUCCUCGUAGUCACUAGGAGAUUUUAGGAGACCCACAGAUGAUGGUGUUUGGCGAAGGGACCAUAAGAAUCGAUGACCACUAUGCUCUAAGGCGCAAGCAAUCUCUGUCACUUGAUUCUGACUAAAAGUUCCCUUGCUCCCAAAGCACAGGAAUACUACUGUCGAUGGAGGCUGAUCAUCAAGCCAUCGCAUGAUUUCCUUAUGAGUGUUUCUUCCAUCUGACCCCAUAUCUAAAAUAGGUCCCACAGGGUAAACAGGAGGCAUUUUUAAAGACUCAAUCGCAUAGGAUUCCAACUCCAAGAAUGUAUUCACUAUAAUACCAUUAGCUUCUCUGAACCUUCUUAUGUUGUCAAGUAUAGAAGGAAACCAAUCUUUGCUCAACAUUGCAGAAGGCAUGACCCUACCAGGAAAUGGGUUUAUCAAACUUAACACUUGCAACUCAGCAUCUGAGUCCUUGAGCUCAGUGGGGUCAAAUUUCUCUUCAUCAUAAAUCUUUUGCACAUAAAGCAUGAAGCCAAGAAAAGCUGCACCCGACGAAAAGAAAAUGUAAGACGGAACCCCAAAUUCAUUAGCCACAUCUAUCAUCGACGCGCAUAAUGUAUCAACAACAAAACCUAC